CCCUUAGAUGUCCUGGGCCGCACGCGCGCUACACUGAUGCAUGCGACGAGUUUAUAACCUUGGCCUGAAAGGUCUGGGUAAUCUUUUGAACGUGCAUCGUGAUAGGGAUAGAUUAUUGCAAUUGUUAAUCUUGAACGAGGAAUUCCUAGUAAACGCGAGUCAUCAGCUCGCAUUGAUUACGUCCCUGCCCUUUGUACACACCGCCCGUCGCACCUACCGAUUGAAUGGUUCGGUGAAGAUCUCGGACUUCGAUAUUUAUUCUUUAUUGAGUUUAUAUUGUGGGAAGUUAUCUAAACCUCAUCAUUUAGAGGAAGGUGAAGUCGUAACA
RNAcentral lists this ribosomal RNA (328 nucleotides) under uncultured eukaryote. RNAcentral describes it as "partial 18S ribosomal RNA". It matches the Rfam family "Eukaryotic small subunit ribosomal RNA", at positions 1470 to 1796 of the family's 1831-position model. The record is from RNAcentral.